RNAcentral lists this ribosomal RNA (503 nucleotides) under uncultured bacterium. Its description in RNAcentral is "partial 16S ribosomal RNA". It matches the Rfam family "Bacterial small subunit ribosomal RNA", at positions 30 to 523 of the family's 1533-position model. The record is from RNAcentral.
AUUGAACGCUGGCGGCAGGCUUAACACAUGCAAGUCGAGCGGGGUGAUGGUGCUUGCACUAUCACUUAGCGGCGGACGGGUGAGUAAUGCUUAGGAAUCUGCCUAUUAGUGGGGGACAACAUCUCGAAAGGGAUGCUAAUACCGCAUACGUCCUACGGGAGAAAGCAGGGGAUCACUUGUGACCUUGCGCUAAUAGAUGAGCCUAGGUCGGAUAAGCUAGGUGGUGGGGUAAAGGCCUACCAAGGCGACGAUCUGUAGCGGGUCUGCGAGGAUGAUCCGCCACACUGGGACUGAGACACGGCCCAGACUCCUACGGGAGGCAGCAGUGGGGAAUAUUGGACAAUGGGGGGAACCCUGAUCCAGCCAUGCCGCGUGUGUGAAGAAGGCCUUAUGGUUGUAAAGCACUUUAAGCGAGGAGGAGGCUCUUUUGGUUAAUACCCAAGAUGAGUGGACGUUACUCGCAGAAUAAGCACCGGCUAACUCUGUGCCAGCAGCCGCAGUAA